This 480-nucleotide ribosomal RNA is filed under the name Porphyromonas gulae. RNAcentral describes it as "bacterial SSU rRNA". It matches the Rfam family "Bacterial small subunit ribosomal RNA", at positions 9 to 478 of the family's 1533-position model. The record is from RNAcentral. Lineage: Bacteria; Pseudomonadati; Bacteroidota; Bacteroidia; Bacteroidales; Porphyromonadaceae.
GAGUUUGAUUCUGGCUCAGGAUGAACGCUAGCGAUAGGCUUAACACAUGCAAGUCGAGGGGCAGCAUGAUCUUAGCUUGCUAAGGUUGAUGGCGACCGGCGCACGGGUGCGUAACGCGUAUGCAACUUGCCUUACAGAGGGGGAUAACCCGUUGAAAGACGGACUAAUACCGCAUACACUUGUUUGGUUGCAUGAUCGGGCAAGGAAAUAUUUAUAGCUGUAAGAUAGGCAUGCGUCCCAUUAGCUGGUUGGUGAGGUAACGGCUCACCGAGGCUACGAUGGGUAGGGGAACUGAGAGGUUUAUCCCCCACACUGGUACUGAGACACGGACCAGACUCCUACGGGAGGCAGCAGUGAGGAAUAUUGGUCAAUGGGCGAGAGCCUGAACCAGCCAAGUCGCGUGAAGGAAGACUGUCCUAAGGAUUGUAAACUUCUUUUAUACGGGAAUAACGGGCGAUACGUAUAUUGCUAUGAAUNACC